Long non-coding RNA from Homo sapiens (human), 672 nucleotides. RefSeq lists it as uncharacterized. The record is from RefSeq and is a predicted model, not a curated record. Lineage: Eukaryota; Metazoa; Chordata; Mammalia; Primates; Hominidae. The transcript has 3 exons.
UCCUCAGGAUGAUAGCCUAUUCAAAAAAGAGCUAUUUUGUCAAAAUUUCCAGAAGACUACUUUAAGUCUGCUGCUCAUGGCGACUGGGACUGCCUCCUUUCAUCACAAGCAUACUUUUUCUCUUGCAGUAUCUUUGCCCUGAGUAAAGCCUGUCUGCUCCAGUCUAGUCUGGGUGAUUCAGAUAUGAGGACACUGGGAGUCACGUUGGCUGGUUCCGUUUCUGCACCACCUUCGUGAGUUACUUGGUUGUUUCCUGAAGAAUCGUCUCAAAUGUAUACAAAUCCUGGCAUUUAAUUGUGGGAAUGGAUCUGCUACUGUGCACAAAACUUCUUGGAGAUCAACAACAAUCCAAAGGCAGAAGGGAAGAUAAUUAGAAAUUGAGGAUGGGAAAGAGGAAGAGAGAAGAAAUAAUGACUUUCAGAGGACUUUCUCUCCCUUAGAACAAAAUGAAAAGGAACACCUAAAAUACUCAGCAUGUGGUACUUUUGUCUCUGCUUUCUUACCUUGGGCCCUGUGAUUCUUAUUAAGAAUAGUGAUUGUCCUAUAUGUCCAGCUUCCUCUAUUUAUGAGGUAACAGAAUUAAUUUCUUCCUCAAGUCCCAUUACUGGCAUUGCUUUCUUCUUGACCAAAGCUGAGUUCUGCACCAAUGCUGAGUCUUCUCAUUUUGUAAAA